AAGUCCAGUCGCGGGUAGUGGGAGCGGAUGGAAGUAGCUGAAACUGGGCCGACAUUCUGCUAAUUUUCUCGUCGAUUAAACAUCUGAUCUCAAUACAUUGUUCUGUCCAAAAAGUACAAUAUGUUACGAGCACAGUGCGCUAAGUUUUAUAGACUUGAAGCUUUGCCAAAGUUUUAAAAAAUUGCGUUUAGGAGUGGAAGGUCGAAUUGAGUUUGUGCUUGGCUUUGCCCACUUGCUUGUUCUGCCCACUAUGCUUAUACUGUAAACAGCACAGAUGAACUAACUUCGUUUUGGAAACAAUUUCCAAGACGAACAAAAAAGCCAAAAUGUCAUAAUAUAUGCACGAACUUUUCCGAAAUGUUUCGGCUGGGAAGAAUCCCGACGCCUUUAGCAAGGGCUUCGGUUCAACGUCCGUCCUUCAGCUGAUGACACCGAACAUGGAAUGACUGAGACGGGCAAACCCCACUCCGUUGCCAGCAACAUUGCAUAGCAAUAUUGCCCCCCCAGAAAUGGCCAGUGUAUCAUUAGCCGUCACAUGCACAGCCUUUGGCACGGAAAAAACUCAGCUGGGAGAGUAAAAGUAUCCCAUUCAAUGGUGUUCCGUUUCAAGUUGUUGGCACAAAGACGUAUGAAUGCCACCAGGGCAAAGACAGACAGACAAAAGCCAAAGAGAAAUAUGCUGCUGAAAGAGACAAGAAGGAACUUGAAGACCAUGCCUUUGUAAAGAGACGGAAACUGGCACAAAAUACCAAAAAGGUGGACUGCAAGGCUAUAAUAAACAUCGCCCAAGUUAUCCGCUUUCCUGAUUUUAAGAUUGAGGAAAGUACAGUGCGCUCUAAAAAGGAGGCCUCCCAAACUCUGAAGGCAGCACUAAGUGAAACUCCCAGCUCCGUGAAGGCAGAGGUUGUCUACUGCGUCAGGUUCCCCUCCCUCUCUGAGCACAGCUCACAUGCAGUUGUUGGAGAGGCAGCUUAUGUUCGGGAAGCUGUAGAUGCCAGGCUGAGAGAGAAGAUAGAGCAGCUGACUCUGUCUGGUGUGAGAAAGAUGACUGAAAUGAAGUGUCAUCUGAACACCUUUGUAGUGGAAGAGCUUUUCCAUGGAGAGCAGCCCCCUCCACCUACUCGCAGGCGCUAUUACCCCACUGACAGUGACAUAAGAAAUGUCAUGUUUAAGACCAAGCAGGCCACCAGAGACUCCAACAUUGACCGUCCAUACGAAGGUCCAUCUGUAAGAGGAAAGAAGAGGUCCUCUAGGAAGCUGCUGCGGUUACGGAGGCAAUGUGCAGGAUAUCUUAAAGAAAUCACAGAACUCACUUAUCAUCUCCAAGAGGAACAGUACGUGACUGGCCUGUCUUCACAGCUCAGAAGCGUGUUGCUGGAUAUGAAGGCCCAUGUUCCACAGGAUAAAGGCCUUCCACUGACCUUUUCUCCAAGUAAGAGAAAAGCUGAGAUGGACAUGGACCUCAUUCCAACCAAGAGUGCGUCACACCCUUUCACAGACGGGGUAGAACAGUAUACAGAGGACAUAGUGAGUGUGGAUACCUUGUUGGCAUUGAGCCUAGGUUAGUAGGGCUGUGUGGAUACCUUGUUGGCAUUGAGCCUAGGUUAAUAGUGAGUGUGGAUACCUUGUUGGCAUUGAGCCUAGGUUAGUAGGGCUGUGUGGAUACUUUGUUGGCAUUGAGCCUAGGUUAGUAGGGCUGUGUGGAUACCUUGUUGGCAUUGAGCCUAGGGCUGAUGACAGUGUGUGGGUUCUGCCACCAAUUGAGUAUAUUUUGGUUAGUGUAACUUUUAUUUAAACUAAUGUUAACAUUCUGUCAACACAACUUGAUAAAAACAUGUUUUCUCAUCUCAAGAUGUUAAACAAAUAAAUUACUAUAGUAAGUCAUUUAGGAAGCAUAUAUAUACACACUGUUCCUCUCUUCUGCUGCUACUCUGUACUUUAUUUUAUUAUUGUCUGUCCUGAUGCCUAGUCACUUUACCCUGCACAUUUAUCUCCUUGAUCUGGUACUGGUACUUCCUGUAUAUAGCUGCACAUUGAUCUGGUACUUCCUGUAUAUAGCUGCACAUUGAUCUGGUACUUCCUGUAUAUAGCUGCACAUUGAUCUGGUACUUCCUGUAUAUUGUGUAUUCUAUUCCUCUUGUUACAAUCCCAAAAUGUUUUAAACUUUGCAUCGUUGUGAAGGGCUGUAAGCAUUUCGCGGUUAAAUCUACACCCGUUGUAUUCGGCGCAUGUGACAAAUAACAUUUGUUUUGAAGUGCCCAAAUGAAGUAACAGGGUUGACCUUAUGUGUUGACGUUUAAUCUUAAAUCAGACAAUUUCAAAAUGUACAAUUCUGAACGUUUCUUUGAAACUGUGUACGUUUUACUUGUGGAUAUUGAAAACAAAACAUUGAAAAUCAAGAUGUACCAAUUUGUUUGUCUACAUGCCAUUUUAAAAACAAUGCAGAAAUUGGAUUAAACCUAUUUUGGGUUAAAACAAGUAACUAUGA
Salvelinus namaycush (lake trout) is the source of this 2488-nucleotide RNA transcript. RefSeq lists it as uncharacterized. NCBI's taxonomy places the organism in Eukaryota, Metazoa, Chordata, Actinopteri, Salmoniformes, Salmonidae. The record is from RefSeq and is a predicted model, not a curated record. The transcript is spliced from 5 exons.